AUAAACGCUGGCGGCGUGCCUAAUGCAUGCAAGUCGAACGGGAUCGCUUUCGGGCGACGACCGUGGCGGACGGGUGAGGAGCACGUAGCUGACCUGCCCUGGUGUGGGGGAUAUCCUUCGGAAACGGAGUGUAAUACCGCAUACGCUCAAUUGAGGGGACUUGAUUGAGGAAAGCCGAGAGGCGUACCAGGAGGGGGCUGCGUCCGAUUAGCUAGUUGGUGGGGUAACGGCUUACCAAGGCGAUGAUCGGUAGCUGGUCUGAGAGGACGAUCAGCCACACGGGGACUGGGACACGGCCCCGACUCCUACGGGAGGCAGCAGCAAGGAAUUUUCCACAAUGGGCGCAAGCCUGAUGGAGCAACGCCGCGUGGGGGAUGACGCACUUCGGUGUGUAAACCUCUUUUCGAGGGGACGAAGGCAAUGACGGUACCCUCGGAAUAAGGAUCGGCUAACUACGU
RNAcentral lists this ribosomal RNA (458 nucleotides) under uncultured bacterium. RNAcentral describes it as "bacterial SSU rRNA". It matches the Rfam family "Bacterial small subunit ribosomal RNA", at positions 29 to 506 of the family's 1533-position model. The record is from RNAcentral.